Molecule: ribosomal RNA, 352 nt
Filed under: Dengella broussonetiae
Lineage: Eukaryota; Metazoa; Arthropoda; Arachnida; Trombidiformes; Eriophyidae
Description: partial small subunit ribosomal RNA
Source: RNAcentral
UCUAUUAAACAUAGAAGUGACGGGCGAUUUGUGCAUGUUUUCUUUCCAAUUCACUUAAAAAUUUUUUUUUUAAUUUAGUAUUAAGUCCUUCUUAAUAAUCUCCUCUUUCUUUUUUUGUUUGCUAUAUGCGCCCCACUCUUUCUAAAAUAUUUUCUUUGUCUUGAUUUGUUUUAUUAUCCUUAAUUUUUCAAUCUUUUUCAAUUUAAGAUUUUAACAAUGAUAUAAAAAAUGAAUCUUUUAGUAAAUUUAAUCGUGGGGUGUCUAUGAUACCGCAGAGCUCCCUACUUAGCUUAAACACCGCCAUUUUAUUUAGGUUUAGUUUAUUUACUUACUUUCUAGGAAUUUUUUAAAA